GAUGAACGCUGGCGGCGUGCCUAAUACAUGCAAGUCGAGCGAACGGACGAGAAGCUUGCUUCUCUGAUCUUAGCGGCGGACGGGUGAGUAACACGUGGAUAACCUACCUAUAAGACUGGGAUAACUUCGGGAAACCGUAGCUAAUACCGGAUAAUAUUUUGAACCGCAUGGUUCAAAAGUGAAAGACGGUCUUGCUGUCACUUAUAGAUGGAUCCGCGCUGCAUUAGCUAGUUGGUAAGGUAACGGCUUACCAAGGCAACGAUGCAUAGCCGACCUGAGAGGGUGAUCGGCCACACUGGAACUGAGACACGGUCCAGACUCCUACGGGAGGCAGCAGUAGGGAAUCUUCCGCAAAGGGCGAAAGCCUGACGGAGCAACGCCGCGUGAGUGAUGAAGGUCUUCGGAUCGUAAAACUCUGUUAUUAGGGAAGAACAUAUGUGUAAGUAACUGUGCACAUCUUGACGGUACCUAAUCAGAAAGCCACGGCUAACUACGUG
RNAcentral lists this ribosomal RNA (497 nucleotides) under uncultured bacterium. RNAcentral's name for it is "partial 16S ribosomal RNA". It matches the Rfam family "Bacterial small subunit ribosomal RNA", at positions 28 to 507 of the family's 1533-position model. The record is from RNAcentral.